Molecule: ribosomal RNA, 201 nt
Filed under: Vibrio alginolyticus
Lineage: Bacteria; Pseudomonadati; Pseudomonadota; Gammaproteobacteria; Vibrionales; Vibrionaceae
Description: partial 16S ribosomal RNA
Rfam family: Bacterial small subunit ribosomal RNA
Source: RNAcentral
CGGGAGGCAGCAGUGGGGAAUAUUGCACAAUGGGCGCAAGCCUGAUGCAGCCAUGCCGCGUGUGUGAAGAAGGCCUUCGGGUUGUAAAGCACUUUCAGUCGUGAGGAAGGUGGUGUAGUUAAUAGCUGCAUUAUUUGACGUUAGCGACAGAAGAAGCACCGGCUAACUCCGUGCCAGCAGCCGCGGUAAUACGGAGGGUGC